CCUACGGGUGGCUGCAGUGGGGAAUAUUGGACAAUGGGCGAAAGCCUGAUCCAGCCAUGCCGCGUGUGUGAAGAAGGCCUUCGGGUUGUAAAGCACUUUCGGUGGGGAAGAAAGCCUUGGGGCUAAUACCCUCGAGGAAGGACAUCACCCACAGAAGAAGCACCGGCUAACUCCGUGCCAGCAGCCGCGGUAAUACGGAGGGUGCGAGCGUUAAUCGGAAUUACUGGGCGUAAAGCGCGCGUAGGCGGUCUGAUAAGCCGGUUGUGAAAGCCCCGGGCUCAACCUGGGAACGGCAUCCGGAACUGUCAGGCUAGAGUGCAGGAGAGGAAGGUAGAAUUCCCGGUGUAGCGGUGAAAUGCGUAGAGAUCGGGAGGAAUACCAGUGGCGAAGGCGGCCUUCUGGACUGACACUGACGCUGAGGUGCGAAAGCGUGGGUAGCAAACAGGAUUAGAUACCCGUGUAGUC
RNAcentral lists this ribosomal RNA (465 nucleotides) under Vreelandella stevensii. RNAcentral describes it as "partial 16S ribosomal RNA". It matches the Rfam family "Bacterial small subunit ribosomal RNA", at positions 338 to 795 of the family's 1533-position model. Lineage: Bacteria; Pseudomonadati; Pseudomonadota; Gammaproteobacteria; Oceanospirillales; Halomonadaceae. The record is from RNAcentral.